This is a long non-coding RNA of Choloepus didactylus (southern two-toed sloth), 3922 nucleotides long. RefSeq lists it as uncharacterized. The record is from RefSeq and is a predicted model, not a curated record. The transcript has 5 exons. Lineage: Eukaryota; Metazoa; Chordata; Mammalia; Pilosa; Megalonychidae.
AAUUGGUCUCCCUGGGGGAACUGGGCAAGGUGAGAUUUUCCCCUGCUCUUUUGGACCCUAUGUGCUAUGCAAGCCUUUGUUGUGCCUGAGCCUGUGUUCUCAUAAUGCACCAUACAGAAACUAGCUCCAAGACCCUUAGGGUUGACAACCUACAGUUACUGAAAUACACAGGACAAAAGGUCAUUUUCCUCAUGUAAAGGAGCUGGUAUCAGAUGUUACCUUGUGAAAAAGCCUUGUCUGAUGCAGAGAUUCAGGGACAGAGUGACACCAUGUGGAAUAAAACAGAGCUACCUCAAAAGGCUGACAUGCUCUUCUAAAAGAGCAUGAACUGAAAACAACAGCAAACAAAAACCUGACUUAUCAAUUGGGAUCAUGCCUUUAAGAUAUGGCUUCUAAAAAGAAAUUUCUACGUUUCCUUCUAAUUGAAAUGAUCUUAUAUGCUCAUGUUUAUUUGGAACAGUGGGAGUUUUCUGGCAACAUUUACAACUUCUCUCCUGGUCAAGAUCUCUGAAAACUCACCGUGUGAUUCUGGCUUUGCCUCCCACCAAGUGACCUGUUAUGGUUUUCCCUCCCACUAGAUGGCAGUGGCUUCCGGUCUCUGGUAAUGCUAUUUACUUCCUGUGUUUCUCCAUCCCUCGUUUCUGGAUUUGCUUUACCAUGAAACUUUGACUUUUCACUUAUCUGCCACCUACGUAAGAAGCUCCCAGAAUUAAAUGAUCUCAUUUGAAAUAUCUAGAGUGGUUUCUGUGUCCUUUAAUGGACCUUAACUGAUACUGUAUAGCACUUCCCCAAGCAUUGUUUAUAUAAUGCAGUAACUGAAAGGGCAAUUACUGAAGAGGCAUUGAAGUGUGCUACACUUGGGAUAUCGCACUAAUAAUCUGAAAUUACCAAAUUUCUUCUUAGACUAGUACUGAUCCAUGGGGUGGAGGUGGGGUGGCCUGAGCUGUGGAAAGAGGAUGAAUUCAUCCAAAUGUUAGUUAGCUAUGAUGGAGGACUAUUCUUCUAUUUUAGUCUUUUAUUCUUGAGAAUAGGAAAGAAAAAAAUGGCUCCAGCAUAACUCUGAGCAUUCCUUUGGUCCUAUAUUCCUGUACAAAUAUAAUGAGACACCUAUUUGGCCAGCACGCCACUUUGGCAUCUGCCCUCAUGCUUGAUAGAGAUGGAUGUGGAUAAAAUUAGCUGUUAUAAAUGUGGGUAAUAUAAAAACUUGUUGUAUGAUUAGACUAAGUAUCCAAUGAAUCUAUAAACGUGAGACUAAUUUAGAUACAGUACUCAAAAGUGGAACUUGCGUAUUUACUUAUGCACUAUGGUGCUGGAACUCAAAUCUGUCAAGUGGUUAUGUCAAGAGGCUGGUGAAAUCCACAUCAGUUUAGUUUGCCAGGUUUGCUGUAAUGAAGUACCACAGAGUGGUUGACAGCAACAGGAAUUUAUGGUCUCACCUAGAAGUCCAAAAUCAAGGUGUUGGCAGGAUUGUGCUUUCUUAUAAGUCUGUGGAGUUCUGGUGGUGGCUCAUGGGAAAUCUGUGGCUCAAUCUCAGCCUCUGUCACAUGGCCACCUCUCUCCAUUGGCCUCCUCCUCCCUGUUUCCAAAUUUCCUUUGCUUAUGAGGACUUGAGUCAUAUUGGCUUAAGGCCCACCCUGAUUCAUUUUGGUCUCACCUUAACUAGUAACCUCUUUAAAGAUCCUAUUUACAAAUGGGUUCACAUCCACAGGAAGUAGGUGAUGGGGGAGACAAACACAGAAAAAUGAUGGAGAAGAAUUUAGUAAGUGUUACUUGCAUAUAAGAGGGGCAUAGGGAAUCUUUUUGCUAACUAAACUCAUGGAAUUUAUCCUUACAAUAGGUGGUUCUCUAUAAAGAAAUUUAAUAGUUCUGAACACCAAUAUGAAAUGGGAUAUAUUGACAAGGUAGAAUUUCAGGGUCACUGGAACUUUCCAUUAUUGACUUGGUGACCUAAAAAUUUCAGUGAAGGAAUAUCAACAGCAUGAAACCUGAGAAAAGAUAAUCCUGAACUUAAGUUCAGCCCAAAGAAAUCAUAUAAAUCAGAGAGGAAUAGAUGAACUAUAUAACUGUUUUCAAUUUCUGUUUAUUCACAAAAGUACAUUUGGAUUACAUAAACAAAUUAAUUAUCCAUUCUUGAAUUUGAGUAUUUUGAUUUUUUUAAACACUUUAAUCUCAAAUAGUGGUUAAUAAAGGAAGUCUGGGUUAUACAAUAUUUUUAAGGGGGAAAUUGCUUAUUUCUGUUGAAACUCUUCUUUAAGUAAGUGCCUGGAUUCUUUCUUUCCAGGCCAUCUCCUGUUGCCAGGAAAAUAAUACCCAGAUUUAUGUUUUUCUGACUGAAUGGUCUCUUUCUGCAAUGACAGUGAGCAAUUUUAUUUUUUUAAAUAAGGCAGUAAGUUCAAGGAAAAUUGAACAGUGAUUUACAGCAUUUGGGUACACAUUUACUCAAAUUGCAAGAGCGGGAAUUUGCCAGUUGUAGUCAAGUAAGGCAGAAGUUUUUUUGGUGGUGGUUGUGGCAUAGAUAGCUGUUGAAAUUUCUAGUUUGUCUGCAAUUGCAGAGAACUUCAAGGUGAAAAUUUUGCUCUUCAACCCAUUGUUUAGACACAGGAAAACAAAUUUAUUUUACUUUAAGGAAUAUCCCACUAAUAUAAAACUUUACAAUUGAAGACUAUUGCUAUAUGGCCUUCUUUAACUAAUAAAUGAACUUCAAAAAAUCCAGGAGUUAGGCUUAAAUGGGUACAUAACCUGAAGCUUGAGAAUCUUAGCCAUCCCUUCUUAAGUCUGAAUAAAUUGAGUGAUAUUUGUGGAUUUGACACUCAUUUAGUAACAAAACACUUUAGUUUCAAAUAGUUUAAAACCUAAAGUUUUAGACAACAGUGUCUGGAUUUCUCUUCACAAAGAAAUUUCUAACAUUUGAAUUCAGUCUAAUGAAGACUUUGAUUCCAAAGUGUAAGUAUGGAUUCAUACCAUACCAUUACUUACAUUGUUUUAAAACAGUGACUAGCCGUUUACAAGAUAUUAUCCAUAACAAUUUUAACAAAUCAGAAAAGAUUUUGAUUUUAAUUUUGAAUUCAUCAAUAAAGGCCAAUACAGAAUACUCUUUCACGAAUAGCAAAUAUUUCAUUUUCCUAAAGCAGGAUAAAUGCUGUGGGAAAUGUUAAGUAAUUCUUUCUUUGAUGAUUAUCAAAUAUAAGCAUUUCACUUCAGGACAGAAGAUACUUUCCAUUGGCUUUUCAAUUACAUUUUUCUCUAUUUGAAGCAAGAAGAAUGAAUUGUGUUUUCUCAUUCAAUAUCAAGUCUUAAACUAACAUAUCUACUGUUAUUUACCAAAUAGCAAGAACAAAUUUUGAAUUUAAAAUCCUAUCCAUUUGAAUCCUGUUACAAUUAAGACAUUAGGGAGUUUUGCAGAUUAAUACUAAUGCCUGAGGUUCUGAUAGGAGUUUCGGUUGUACAAGCGUGUGUAUUUGUCAAAACUAUUUCAUUGUGUGUAAAUUUUAUCUCAAAAUAAAACAACGUGAACAACAAAGAACAACUGUAAACAAUUAGGGGGAUAUCUACUAAUAACUAAAAAUAACUUUCUAUUAAGUAUGCAUAACAAAAUGGAUUGACUGAUGGAUGGAAAGAUGUCAUGAUCAAGUAUAGUUAAAUGUUAAUGGUAGAAUCUGGGGAGUGGUAUUGAAUGUUCACUAUAAAAUAGUUGAACAAAUAUUUUACAUUAAAGACUUUUCAUAAUGUUUUUGAACUAUAAUUAAAAGCAGAAUUGCAUACCUAUAUCUACCUAAAGAAAGAAGUCUAUUUUGUUUUUAGAGAUGUCUUGUAUGUAGUUAAAGAUAUCACAUGGUUCAGUCCUUCUGAGACCCAUGAUUUGCACAAAUAAUUAUGAAAUAAAUAUUUUCUGUAGGGAAGAUAAUAAACAAAUGAGAACUUU